AGCAGCUGAAGAAGUCCUCAGCAGCCAUGGAGUACCCAAGAAGGAAAGAGUGGGAGAGAAGGAGCAAGUCUGGAGAGCCACAUGGAACUAAACGGUACCAGUGAAGUGGGCAGAUUACACUGGACCUCAGGCAACAAAGCAGAGACACCUGAACCAAGCCAUACGACACAUAACGAGGAAUUCAACUGAGAGAAAACCCAGAAACUGCCAAAAACUGCUGUAACACCUACCUGGCUCUACAAGACGUCAAGAGUGAAGAGGAGAGGGAAGGAAUGAAGUGAUAGUGAUGAGUGCAGAUGAUAAGGAUGAAAAACUACAGGGAGAGCGGACACACACACCACUGAAUGCAGAUUGAAAUUUUCUAUCCAACGGUGUACAGCACAACCACUGGGCUCCCGCAAAGUGUUGAGCCAGAGUGACUUGAAUACUAGGCAAGUGUGUGACGUGCGCGCUGCUUCCACUGUUGCAUUACUGACACCGUCGCUCGGCAGUCACCUUCCAGGCGUUUUACUGGUAAUAAUGAUAAACAUGUACUUUUGUGUGUG
Long non-coding RNA from Scylla paramamosain (green mud crab), 545 nucleotides. RefSeq lists it as uncharacterized. The transcript has 4 exons. The record is from RefSeq and is a predicted model, not a curated record. NCBI's taxonomy places the organism in Eukaryota, Metazoa, Arthropoda, Malacostraca, Decapoda, Portunidae.